CCCUUCUUUGAGGGUCAUUUUGGCCUCCGUGUCCGUGGGAGGCGUCCGCUCUUUGUUCUUAGCAGCUUCUUCCCACUCCCCGCCCGGGACGCUUUCUUUCCUCGGGUGUUUCAGCGAAGGGACAAGAGGGAAUAAAGGCGGAGCAGCAGACGGGCUGAUCGCUGCAGAAGCCGACCGCUUGUGCCCCGUGGGAGUGAAUGCAGAACCGAUUCUGUCCCUGUGCUGCUGUGGGGUCUAGUUUGAGGCCAUAAGAAGGAUAAAGCAUCACUUUUUCAAAAGCCCCUGUCCGCAACAUGAAUUCUGCUAAAAUUGAAAUAAGAACAAAUAUCAAAUUUAUGGUGAAGCUUGGGUGGAAGAAUGGUGAAAUCAUUGAGGCUUUACGCAAAGUCUAUGGGGACAAUGCCCCCAAGAAGUCAGCAGUCUACAAAUGGAUAACCCGUUUUAAGAAUGGGCGAGAUGAUGUUGAAGACGAAGCCCGCAGUGGCAGGCCAUCCACAUCAAUUUGUGAGGAAAAAAUCCACCUUGUCCGCGCCCUAAUUGAAGAGGACCGGCAACUGACAGCAGAAACAAUAGCCAACACCAUAGACAUCUCCAUUGGUUCAGCUUACACCAUUCUGACCGAAAAACUCAAGUUGAGCAAACUUUCCACUCUCUGGGUGCCCAAACUACUGCGCCCAGAUCAGCUGCAGACCAGAGCAGAGCUUUCAACGGAAAUUUUAAACAAGUGGGACCAAGAUCCGGAAGGAUUUCUCCGAAGAAUUGUGGCAGGAGAGGAAGCCUGGAUUUUUCCAUACAAUCCGUAAGACAAAGCACAAUCAAAGCAGUGGCUACUAAGAGGUGGACAUGGUCCAGACAAAGCAAAAACUGACGAGUCAAAAGCAAAGGUCAUGGCAGCUGUUUUAUUUUUUUGCUAAAGGCAUUUGUUUUUUUGACUUUUUGGAGGACCAAAGAAAGAACAUGUGCUUAUUGGGUGCGUUUUGAGAAAGAUAGCCAAAGCUUUUUAACAAGAAAAGGCCCAGGAAAACUUCACCAGAGAACUCUUCGUGACAAUGCUUCUUUCUACUCAUUCUCCUCAUCUAACAAGGGCAAAUGUUCUUGAAUUUCCAUGGGAAGUAAUUUGCCAUCAACUUCACAGUCUUGAUUUUGCUCUUUUUUGUUUCCCAGUCUUAAAAGAACACCCAUUUUUCUUAGUUAAUAAUGUUUUUUUUUUUUUAAAAGGCUGCAUUAACAUGGUUAAAUUCCCAGGACUCUCAGUUCUUUAGGGAUGGACUAAAUAACUUGUAUUACUUUUAAAAGUUCUUGAACUUGAUGAAGAACUUGAACUUAUCUUGAGAAAUAAAUGUAUCUUUUUUUAAUUCCGUCUUUCUUUGAACUUUCUGAAAUCCCUUUAUAUGUAAGUAUGAUCUAAAAGUUAUUUGAUUUUUCUUUUUCCUUAACUAUGGGCUCAGUAGUCAUAAUUUAAUGAAGACUUCAGACUUUGAAGUUAUGAGAGUAAAUUUAUUGAAAGGAAGUAAUAUGUACACAACAGUGACCUUUCUCUCAUAACAUAUAUUGAGCAAUGACUAUUCCAGGCCUUCGGCUAAGUUUUGGAAACACAGAGUCAUUUGUAAGGCAGUUUUUGUCCGCAAAGCUGUGGAAAAUUUAAAAGGUCAAAGAAUAACUUUGGGUCAUGGAGUUCAAAAUUUUCGACUUUGAAAAUCUGACUAAGAAUACUUGGAAUUUUUAUGAGACUGCUCAUAAUGAGAAGUGGAAACUAUUUGCAGAGCCUCAGACAGACAUUGAAAAUGAUUAUAGAAGGCAAAGCUAAAUUAAUCAUACUUGUCAACAUCUGCCUUGCCUUAGGGGAAAUCAAAUCACAUCUCUGGCAUGCUGUGUGGACUAAUUGUAAAUGUCACACAUGAGGACAACCAUAAGAUGGAUUCAAAAGCACUUUGUAACAAUUCGCAUCUGUAUUUCCAGGGUAAAAUGUGAGUUUUACCUUGAGUUUUGUUUUUCAAUUGGUUUGUAACUUGUUUCAUGGUAGUUGUAUUCUAUGCCAGAAAUGUAAGAAAGGAGAAAAACCAAAGGUACUUACCUAGGAAAUAAAAUUAAGUAGUAAAGUCUAUAAAACAUUGGUAGACAUUAGAAAAUUGUCAGGAAAAAUCUUAAUAUUUUCAGCACCUGCUCUGUGGCACAUCUUCACCGGCUGAGGUCAGGGACCACCGUGUCCUGUUGUAUUUACGGUUAAGUUCACAAGCAUAUUAGAAUGGUGCCUUGCCCAUGGCAGCAUCUUCAUAAGUGGUAGCGCUUGCUAUUAAUGCUGGAUACAUGUAGUGAAUGAAAAUGUAUGUAGUUCUCACUAUGAGGUAGGAAUUAAUACUGUCAUGCUUUGUCCACUAUAUAUGUGGGUGUAUAUGUGUAGCGAAAACGUGUAUGUUUUUGCCACAGUCAAAAUCUGUUGACUUCAGAAGCAUCUUCUUGAAACCGUUGCCCCUUGCUGCUGAGCACAGCAAGCACCUGCUUGGUGGAAUCUUCUUCAGAAAGGGUACAGUGUAAAGAAUUGUGAGAAAAGUUUGAGUUGAAGACAAACACUGGUCAACAAUAAUGUAAAAAUCUGAAGUAUCUUGAUUAUCCCCAAUUCUUUGGGCUACAUUUCUUGGCCAAAUGCAUUGCCCCACACAGCUUCCAAACACAUUUAUUUUACUUGUCUUGUAAAUACUAUCUUUUUUUUUUAAUACUAUCAUUUUUAAAAGAUGAUUUCCCAUGUCUGUCAUGUAUGAGUCACAGUCCACUCAGUGGCAGUGAGUUGUUGUUUUUUUUGAAUCAUCUAGUUAUCUAUGUGAUUGCUGAAAUUCAUACGACUCCAACCCCUGGUUUCUGCCUGAAAGGGAUACAGAGAGUCCAUGAGACAGGCAGAUAAUCAAGGGUAUUGCCAAGCAGUUGUACCGAACGCAUUACUUUGUUGAAGUGUUUAGAGCUUACUUUUAAUAGCUGUUCACUUAAAGGAUACACAAGUGGUUGGUAAAUAAGUAAAGAUGCUUCACUCCUUUGCAUGGUAGAUAAAUCAUCUUGAGAUACCAUUUUCACCUGUCAGACUAGCCAAAUAAAGUUUCCCAAAAUGCUCUGGUGAUGAAAUGGACCUUCUUAAGACAUUCACUUUAGGAAAGAAGUGAAUUGACCCAGUUUCUAUGGAACACCAUUUGGCAGUAUCUAUCAAAGGUACAGAGCCCAUUCCUUUUGAUGGAGCACUGCCAGGAUUUUUAGCCAACCACUCUGCAUAUGCACAGAGGAUUUCUAGGAGUGACUUGUUGCUAUGGUGAAGUUUCUAAAAGGAAUGGCAAUGAUUAAAUUGUAUAACAUGUGAAGUAUAUCCCAAUGUUUUUUAAAAGUGGCAUAUCCACUCAAAAAGCUACGGUUUUACAGGAGGAAGCUCGUGAUGUGCUGACAGAAAUAUUAUUUGGUAGUUACGUUCACUCUACAGACAAUAUUGUGUAAUCUUUUCAUAGUAAGAAAAACAUUUGUAUUUACUAGUUUAUGUAUAAAGAAGUCUCGCAAAGCUUCUGUCAUGGGUUGAAUUCUGUCUCCCAGAAAUAGGUGUCAAAUUGCAUGGGCCAUGAUUCUCUGUGGUUUGGCAGUUAGGUGAUGGUGUGAUGUGGCAGUUAUGUGAUGAUUCCCUGUGAUGUGAUCUGAUGUAAUAAGCCAAGAAAUUGAUUAAGGGUGGGAUGCACCACCAAGAAAGGAGGGCCAGGUGUGGAGUGCUGGCUUUGGACCUCGGUUCCCUGUACUGUGAAGCUCCUGGAUCCAGGGAAAGAUUGAUGUCAGAACACUUGGGAGAUCUCUCAGAAGUGUUGGACCUCCAGAUCCUGAAAGGAGACCAUGAACUUUUCUUCAGAGCUGACAGAAAGCCUUCACCGAGAGCUGGCGCUCUAAAUUUGGUUUGGGGCCUCCUAAACUGGAGAAUCAAUGUUUGUUAAAGCCGUGCACUUGCAGUAUCUCUUGCUACAGCAGCACUUGAUUAAUGAAAGCUAGUAACGGUAGUCAAGUUGUUAAGAGCAUUCUGUUUUAUUAAGAGACCUUUUACUUUGUGCUUUUUAUAUUUUAGCAUUAUGAAUAUCCCUUACAUAAAUAAAACUGAAUUUCAAAAAUA
Molecule: long non-coding RNA, 4126 nt
Organism: Echinops telfairi (small Madagascar hedgehog)
Lineage: Eukaryota; Metazoa; Chordata; Mammalia; Afrosoricida; Tenrecidae
Exons: 3
Source: RefSeq, a predicted model, not a curated record